Molecule: long non-coding RNA, 1006 nt
Filed under: Phasianus colchicus (ring-necked pheasant)
Lineage: Eukaryota; Metazoa; Chordata; Aves; Galliformes; Phasianidae
Description: lncRNA (ENSPCLG00000020809.1)
Source: RNAcentral
AAUUUUGUUUGAAAAGAUAACAGCACCAAUAACAAAAUUCCAUCUGAAUGAAAAGUGUGCAGUACUAGCUGUGCAAGUGAGCUUUGGAAUGUAACACAACUGGCCAUUGAAUACAGCCUUGCAUUAAUUUGGUUGGUGUUUUAUAUUUGGAGAUUCAAAAGACAUGUUCUACCUUGUUUAGAUCCUGUGAAAUACAAAACUGUUAAUAACGUGGCAUCCCCAUGCUAAAACUUUACACCAGCCAUGUAUGAACAUACAGUAUCUAAAUACUGUUCUGCAGUUGUGUUAUGUGCAUUAAGUGUGAGUAACAUGUAGCACAGUUUCUUUUCACAGAACCCGAACUUUCCAUAUCUUUUAAAACGUUUGCUUUUCAGUAUUUUGUAUAGUAAAUAUAGAUGGUUUUGACUAAAUGCUUUAUUUAUUUAACAGCAAAAACUGUGCCAAGAGAACCCCCUGUUAAUUAAAGUUUUACUAGUUCAGAAAGUAUAUUUCCUUCUUCUUCUCGUGGAUUUCAGGAGCUUAUUGCAAUUGCUGUCAGUGCUUGCAGACCUCACUGAUGAAAGAACUUGCAUUAACGUUUUUGGGAAUAGGAUCAGAUCAUGAGCAGGACUUAAGGACUAUACAUAUGGAUUACUGUGAGGUUUAGAGCUGUGAAGAAGGACUGACAAGGGAAGGAUGGAAAGAUUUGUGAAGUGUGGGAAUAGCAAAGGACCGUCUACCAGUGGAGGAAAAAACAGCAAGGAGGAAGGAAAAUACUCCUUCUCAGGGAAUAUUUUUUACUUUUGAUGUCUUUAAUCACACUCCUUGCCGUUUGGCCAUGCCAUCUGUUAAGGCCAUAUCCCUCAAUGGCUCUGCACGUGUGACUUCUGUGAGUUUCAAUGGAAACUUUGUGUGGCUUAACUGGAUCGGCAGAUGUAAACAGAGAAACUCACUGUGAGCUAAGUCUGCUUGUCCUGUUAACCACCUCCCUGAGGAUGGAAUAAAUGGCCAGAAAUUUCUGCUUCCA